GCCAAGUAUAAUAAUUAAAUGGGUAAAUUACUAUGACAUCCUUGUAUUAUGUUAAAAUUCAUUAAUUAGUUCCUAAAAUUUUAAAAUGCAAUUAAAUUGUCCUUUGUUUUUCAAAACUCAACUAUUUAGUCAUUUCGUGUAUUUUAACAGUUGGUGUGAUGUCAAAAGACAAAAAUGCUCCUAAAUUAUAUUCUCCAUCUCUCUUUCCUUUUCUCUCUACAUUUUCUUGCCUGAUGCCAUUUCCCUCUGUCACCAUUACACCACUACCUCGUCGCCUAUUUCCUCAAAGCAUCCACAAUCCAUUCCUCUUCG
RNAcentral lists this unclassified non-coding RNA (312 nucleotides) under Hevea brasiliensis (rubber tree). The record is from RNAcentral. Lineage: Eukaryota; Viridiplantae; Streptophyta; Magnoliopsida; Malpighiales; Euphorbiaceae.